This 203-nucleotide unclassified non-coding RNA is filed under the name Hevea brasiliensis (rubber tree). Lineage: Eukaryota; Viridiplantae; Streptophyta; Magnoliopsida; Malpighiales; Euphorbiaceae. The record is from RNAcentral.
GCUUAUUUGUCCCUAAGGACUUGUUAAUUUUAUUUUUAAAAAUUUGAAAAACUUAUUUGACAUUUUUUAAAAAUUUAAGGGCUUAAAUGGGCUCCCAAAACACUUUAAGAACUUAAACGACUAUUUGGCAUAAUUUUAAGGGCCUAAAUAGGCCUUUUGCCUCCUUUUUUUCAGACACCUUUUGUUCACUAGUAUUGACACAA